CGCUCGAUCCGAUCGGGUAGUAGGUAAGCGAUGGGGUGACGCAGGAAGGUAGUCCAGCCCAGGCGAUGGUUGUCCUGGGGUAAGCAUGUAGGGCGUGUCGUAGGUAAAUCCGCGGCAUUUAAGCCUGAGAUGUGAUGCCGAGCCGAUUGUGGUGAAGUGGAUGAUCCUAUGCUGCCGAGAAAAGCCUCUAGUGAGUGUUGUGGCGGCCCGUACCCUAAACCGACUCAGGUGGUCAGGUAGAGAAUACCAAGGCGAUCGGGUGAACUGUGGUUAAGGAACUCGGCAAAUUGCCCCCGUAACUUCGGGAGAAGGGGGACCUCUGUUGGUGAUGGGCUUUACGCCUGGAGCUGGUGGGGGUCGCAGUGGCCAGGGGGAAGCGACUGUUUACUAAAAACACAGGUCCGUGCGAAGUCGUAAGACGAUGUAUACGGACUGACGCCUGCCCGGUGCCGGAACGUUAAGGGGACCGCUUAGCUGACGUGAGUUGGCGAAGGUGAGAACUUAAGCGCCGGUAAACGGCGGUGGUAACUAUAACCAUCCUAAGGUAGCGAAAUUCCUUGUCGGGUAAGUUCCGACCUGCACGAAUGGCGUAACGACUUCCCCGCUGUCUCAACCGCAGACCCGGCGAAAUUGCACUACGAGUAAAGAUGCUCGUUUCGCGCAGCAGGACGGAAAGACCCCGGGACCUUCACUACAGCUUGACAUUGGCGUUUGGAACGUCUUGUGUAGGAUAGGUGGGAGACUGGGAAGCUGUCACGCUAGUGAUGGUGGAGUCAUUGGUGAAAUACCACUCUGGUCGUUUUGAACGUCUAACUCUGGUCCGUGAUCCGGAUCGGGGACAGUGUCUGGUGGGUAGUUUAACUGGGGCGGUUGCCUCCUAAAGAGUAACGGGGGCGCCCAAAGGUUCCCUCAGCCUGGUUGGCAAUCAGGUGUUGAGUGUAAGUGCACAAGGGAGCUUGACUGUGAGACUGACAGGUCGAGCAGGAGCGAAAGCUGGGACUAGUGAUCCGGCAUCGGCGUGUGGAAGCGGUGUCGCUCAACGGCUAAAAGGUACCCCGGGGAUAACAGGCUGAUCUUCCCCAAGAGUCCAUAUCGACGGGAUGGUUUGGCACCUCGAUGUCGGCUCGUCGCAUCCUGGGGCUGGAGUAGUCCCAAGGGUUGGGCUGUUCGCCCAUUAAAGCGGUACGCGAGCUGGGUUUAGAACGUCGCGAGACAGUUCGGUCCCUAUCCGCUGCGCGCGCAGGAGACUUGAAGGGGGCUGUCCCUAGUACGAGAGGACCGGGACGGACGAACCUCUGGUGUGCCAGUUGUACCGCCAGGUGCACGGCUGGUUGGCUACGUUCGGAAGGGAUAACCGCUGAAAGCAUCUAAGCGGGAAGCUCGCCUUGAGAUGAGGUCUCCCACCACGAGAGUGGGUAAGGCUCCCGGUAGACGACCGGGUUGAUAGGCCGGAGGUGGAAGCACGGUAACGUGUGGAGCUGACCGGUACUAAUAGGCCGAGGACUUGACC
RNAcentral lists this ribosomal RNA (1510 nucleotides) under metagenome. Its description in RNAcentral is "bacterial LSU rRNA". It matches the Rfam family "Bacterial large subunit ribosomal RNA", at positions 1437 to 2925 of the family's 2925-position model. The record is from RNAcentral.